GGAAAGAAUUAUUUUUAUCAUUCUUAAUUUGCCAAUCAAAACUAAUAUCAUGGGGUUGGAAAAGAAUAGCUACAAAAACGUGAAACACAAGUACAGUAGAGUAAAAAUAAACUGAAAUGAAAAAGCUAACCGCAUUUCUCAUUUGAGAUUUUUCACCACGUGAUUCUGGAAAGAGCUCACGGCUUCGCAACAACAAUACCAACUCGUACGUGGGUUUACGGUUCGGUACAGAUUUUUCGAUUCAGAUGAUGAUGAUAAUGGAAUAUGGCAAUGAAAAUAAGUUGAAGAUUCAAGAUGAAAUGGUGAUGGUGAAAGUUAAAGUUUGGUUAUGUGAUUUUGGUGAUUUGGAGGAGAUGAAGACUUGUUCAAGGUUGAAAGUUGAUUGAAGAAUGGUGAAUAAUUUUUGAUUUUUUGGUGAAUAGUAAUUAUGGAAGAAUAAAGAAGAUUGGGAAAGAUGCUUGAAAAAUGGUUCAUGGUUGAAGGUUAGAAGUGAAGACUUGAAGUUUGGUUAUGGUAUAGUUUGGAAAAUGGAAAUUUUGUGAAAUGUCAUUUUUGUGGUUAUUUUUGUGUAAACAGAGAUCGUAAAAUGUGAUUAGUCCUUUCAUGGUGAAAAUGGUGAAGUUUAAAUAGAAAAAAAACAGAAGGAAAAGUUAGUUAUGGAAGAUGAUUCAUAGCUAUUGGAUAGUGGUCCUUGUGAUGUUUUUUAAGAGUGGCUAGAAUUGAAUUGUGUUAGUUUGGAGGGAUUAAGGUAGUUAUGGAUAGUUAGAAAUGAAAUGCAAAUGAAAUAUAAAUUUUGUGUUUGUUUGAAAUGAAAAUGAAUUUCAUUUGGUUUACCUG
This is a long non-coding RNA of Lathyrus oleraceus (garden pea), 837 nucleotides long. RefSeq lists it as uncharacterized. The record is from RefSeq and is a predicted model, not a curated record. NCBI's taxonomy places the organism in Eukaryota, Viridiplantae, Streptophyta, Magnoliopsida, Fabales, Fabaceae. The transcript has 2 exons.